CCUACGGGCGGCAGCAGUGGGGAAUAUUGCACAAUGGGGGAAACCCUGAUGCAGCCAAGUAGCGUGCAGGAUGACGGCCCUACGGGUUGUAAACUGCUUUUAUACGGGAAUAACGCGCCUUACGUGUAGGGCUUUGCAUGUACCGUAUGAAUAAGGACCGGCUAAUUCCGUGCCAGCAGCCGCGGUAAUACGGAAGGUCCGGGCGUUAUCCGGAUUUAUUGGGUUUAAAGGGAGCGUAGGCCGCAUGUCAAGCGUGCUGUGAAAUGUCCGGGCUCAACCCGGGCCUUGCAGCGCGAACUGGCGGGCUUGAGUCCGCGGAAGGCAGGCGGAAUUCGUCGUGUAGCGGUGAAAUGCUUAGAUAUGACGAAGAACCCCGAUUGCGAAGGCAGCUUGCUGCAGCGGAACUGACGCUGAUGCUCGAAAGCGCGGGUAUCGAACAGGAUUAGAUACCCGUGUAGUU
This 460-nucleotide ribosomal RNA is filed under the name uncultured bacterium. RNAcentral describes it as "partial 16S ribosomal RNA". It matches the Rfam family "Bacterial small subunit ribosomal RNA", at positions 338 to 795 of the family's 1533-position model. The record is from RNAcentral.